UACGAAGGGGCUAGCGUUGUUCGGAAUUACUGGGCGUAAAGGGCGCGUAGGCGGUGUGUCAAGUCAGGCGUGAAAGCCCCGGGCUCAACCUGGGAACCGCGCUUGAGACUGGCACGCUAGAGUUCGGGAGAGGAUGGUGGAAUUCCCAGUGUAGAGGUGAAAUUCGUAGAUAUUGGGAAGGAACACCGAUGGCGAAGGCAGCCAUCUGGA
Molecule: ribosomal RNA, 210 nt
Filed under: uncultured bacterium
Lineage: Bacteria
Description: partial 16S ribosomal RNA
Rfam family: Bacterial small subunit ribosomal RNA
Source: RNAcentral